Molecule: small RNA, 125 nt
Filed under: Marmota monax (woodchuck)
Lineage: Eukaryota; Metazoa; Chordata; Mammalia; Rodentia; Sciuridae
Source: RNAcentral
GCCGGGUGCAGUGGCGCACGCUUGCAAUCCCAGCAGCUCAGGAGGCUGAGGCAGGAGGAUCGCGAGUUCAAAGCCAGCCUCAGCAACUGAGAGGCACCAAGCAACUCAGGGAGACCCUGUCUCUA